GACGAACGCUGGCGGCGGGCUUAACACAUGCAAGUCGAACGGAAAGGCCCUGCUUUUGUGGGGUGCUCGAGUGGCGAACGGGUGAGUAACACGUGAGUAACCUGCCCUUGACUUUGGGAUAACUUCAGGAAACUGGGGUUAAUAUCGGAUAGGAGCUCCUGCUGCAUGGUGGGGGUUGGAAAGUUGCGGCGGUUGGGGAUGGACUGGCGGCUUAUCAGCUUGUUGGUUGGGUAGUGGCUGACCAAGGCAUGGACGGGUAGCCGGCCUGGGAGGGUGGCCGGGCACCAUGGGACUGCGAUACGGACCAGACUGCAACGGGAGGCAGCAGUGGGGAAUAUGGCACAAUGGGAGGAAGCCUGAGGCAGCAACGCCGCGGGCGGGAUGACCGCCUGCGGGUUGAAAACCGCUUUCGCCUGUGACGAAGCGUGAGUGACGGUAAUGGGUAAAGAAGCACCGGCUAACUACGUG
Molecule: ribosomal RNA, 468 nt
Filed under: uncultured bacterium
Lineage: Bacteria
Description: partial 16S ribosomal RNA
Rfam family: Bacterial small subunit ribosomal RNA
Source: RNAcentral